GAUGAACGCUGGCGGCGUGCCUAAUACAUGCAAGUCGAGCGAACGGACGAGAAGCUUGCUUCUCUGAUGUUAGCGGCGGACGGGUGAGUAACACGUGGAUAACCUACCUAUAAGACUGGGAUAACUUCGGGAAACCGGAGCUAAUACCGGAUAAUAUUUUGAACCGCAUGGUUCAAAAGUGAAAGACGGUCUUGCUGUCACUUAUAGAUGGAUCCGCGCUGCAUUAGCUAGUUGGUAAGGUAACGGCUUACCAAGGCAACGAUGCAUAGCCGACCUGAGAGGGUGAUCGGCCACACUGGAACUGAGACACGGUCCAGACUCCUACGGGAGGCAGCAGUAGGGAAUCUUCCGCAAUGGGCGAAAGCCUGACGGAGCAACGCCGCGUGAGUGAUGAAGGUCUUCGGAUCGUAAAACUCUGUUAUUAGGGAAGAACAUAUGUGUAAGUAACUGUGCACAUCUUGACGGUACCUAACCAGAAAGCCACGGCUAACUACGU
This 496-nucleotide ribosomal RNA is filed under the name uncultured bacterium. Its description in RNAcentral is "partial 16S ribosomal RNA". It matches the Rfam family "Bacterial small subunit ribosomal RNA", at positions 28 to 506 of the family's 1533-position model. The record is from RNAcentral.